This 443-nucleotide ribosomal RNA is filed under the name uncultured bacterium. Its description in RNAcentral is "bacterial SSU rRNA". It matches the Rfam family "Bacterial small subunit ribosomal RNA", at positions 958 to 1400 of the family's 1533-position model. The record is from RNAcentral.
AACGCGAAGAACCUUACCCAGGCUUGACAUGCAUAGGACAGUUACAGAGAUGUAAUCUCCCUUCGGGGCCUAUGCACAGGUGCUGCAUGGCUGUCGUCAGCUCGUGCCGUGAGGUGUUGGGUUAAGUCCCGCAACGAGCGCAACCCUUGUCAUUAGUUGCCAACACGUAAUGGUGGGAACUCUAAUGAGACUGCCUAGGUUAACUAGGAGGAAGGUGAGGAUGACGUCAAGUCCGCAUGGCCCUUAUGUCUGGGGCUACACACGUGCUACAAUGGCCGGUACAAAGGGCAGCAAAACCGUGAGGUGAAGCAAAUCCCAUAAAGCCGGCCCCAGUUCAGAUUGUAGUCUGCAACUCGACUACAUGAAGUCGGAAUUGCUAGUAAUGGCGUGUCAGCCACAACGCCGUGAAUACGUUCCCGGGCCUUGUACACACCGCACUACUA